This 253-nucleotide ribosomal RNA is filed under the name uncultured bacterium. RNAcentral describes it as "partial 16S ribosomal RNA". It matches the Rfam family "Bacterial small subunit ribosomal RNA", at positions 524 to 776 of the family's 1533-position model. The record is from RNAcentral.
UACGUAGGGGGCAAGCGUUGUCCGGAAUCAUUGGGCGUAAAGAGCGUGUAGGCGGUUCGGUAAGUCGGCUGUGAAAGUCCAGGGCUCAACCCUGGGAUGCCGGUCGAUACUGCCGGACUAGAGUUCGGAAGAGGCGAGUGGAAUUCCCGGUGUAGCGGUGAAAUGCGUAGAGAUCGGGAAGAACAUCGGUGGCGAAAGCGCUCUACUGGACCGCAACUGACACUCAGGGACGAAAGCUAGGGGAGCGAAUGGG